UGGUCGAUUUGAUGUUUAGGAAUGGUAUA
Molecule: non-coding RNA, 29 nt
Filed under: Mus musculus (house mouse)
Lineage: Eukaryota; Metazoa; Chordata; Mammalia; Rodentia; Muridae
Source: RNAcentral